AAACCAGCACCUCAAGUGGUCAGGAGGAUUAUUGGGCCUAAAGCAUCCGUAGCCUGUUCUAUAAGUUUCCGGUUAAAUCCAUUAGCUCAACUAAUGGGCCGCCGAAAAUACUGUAGAACUAGGGAGUGGGAGAGGUAGACGGUAUUCGGUAGGAAGGGGUAAAAUCCUUUGAUCUAUUGAGGACCACCUGUGGCGAAGGCGGUCUACCAGAACACGUUCGACGGUGAGGGAUGAAAGCUGGGGGAGCAAACCGGAUUAGAUACCCCAGUAGUCC
RNAcentral lists this ribosomal RNA (274 nucleotides) under uncultured bacterium. Its description in RNAcentral is "partial 16S ribosomal RNA". It matches the Rfam family "Archaeal small subunit ribosomal RNA", at positions 473 to 747 of the family's 1478-position model. The record is from RNAcentral.